This 488-nucleotide ribosomal RNA is filed under the name uncultured bacterium. RNAcentral's name for it is "partial 16S ribosomal RNA". It matches the Rfam family "Bacterial small subunit ribosomal RNA", at positions 28 to 507 of the family's 1533-position model. The record is from RNAcentral.
GACGAACGCUGGCGGCGUGCUUAACACAUGCAAGUCGAACGGAAAGGCCCUGCUUUUGUGGGGUGCUCGAGUGGCGAACGGGUGAGUAACACGUGAGUAACCUGCCCUUGACUUUGGGAUAACUUCAGGAAACUGGGGCUAAUACCGGAUAGGAGCUCCUGCUGCAUGGUGGGGGUUGGAAAGUUUCGGCGGUUGGGGAUGGACUCGCGGCUUAUCAGCUUGUUGGUGGGGUAGUGGCUUACCAAGGCUUUGACGGGUAGCCGGCCUGAGAGGGUGAACGGCCACAUUGGAACUGAGAUACGGCCCAGACUCCUACGGGAGGCAGCAGUGGGGAAUAUUGCACAAUGGGCGGAAGCCUGACGCAGCAACGCCGCGUGCGGGAUGACGGCCUUCGGGUUGUAAACCGCUUUUGUACGGAACGAAAAGGCGCUGACUAAUACCUGGAGCUGAUGACGGUACCGUAAGAAUAAGCACCGGCUAACUACGUG